UGGGGAAUAUUACACAAUGGAGGGAACUCUGAUGCAGCGACGCCGCGUGAACGAAGAAGGCUUUCGAGUCGUAAAGUUCUUUUAUAUGGGAAGAUAAUGACGGUACCAUAAGAAAAAGCCCCGGCUAACUACGUGCCAGCAGCCGCGGUAAUACGUAGGGGGCUAGCGUUGUCCGGAAUCACUGGGCGUAAAGGGUUCGCAGGCGGAAAUGCAAGUCAGGUGUAAAAGGCAGUAGCUUAACUACUGUAAGCAUUUGAAAUUGCAUAUCUUGAGAAGAGUAGAGGUAAGUGGAAUUUUUAGUGUAGCGGUGAAAUGCGUAGAUAUUAAAAAGAAUACCGGUGGCGAAGGCGACUUACUGGGCUCAUUCUGACGCUGAGGAACGAAAGCGUGGGUAGCAAACAGG
This 403-nucleotide ribosomal RNA is filed under the name bacterium. RNAcentral describes it as "partial 16S ribosomal RNA". It matches the Rfam family "Bacterial small subunit ribosomal RNA", at positions 355 to 776 of the family's 1533-position model. The record is from RNAcentral.